GACGAACGCUGGCAGCGUGCUUAACACAUGCAAGUCGAGCGGUAAGGCCCUUUCGGGGGUACACGAGCGGCGAACGGGUGAGUAACACGUGGGUGACCUGCCCUCAGCUCUGGGAUAAGCCUGGGAAACCGGGUCUAAUACCGGAUAUGACUCCAUGACGCAUGUUGUGGGGUGGAAAGCCUUGUGCGGCUGAGGAUGGGCCCGCGGCCUAUCAGCUUGUUGGUGGGGUGANGGCCUACCAAGGCGACGACGGGUAGCCGGCCUGAGAGGACGACCAGCCACACUGGGACUGAGACACGGCCCAGACUCCUACGGGAGGCAGCAGUGGGGAAUUUUGGACAAUGGGCGCAAGCCUGAUCCAGCCAUGCCGCGUGCGGGAAGAAGGCCU
RNAcentral lists this ribosomal RNA (388 nucleotides) under uncultured bacterium. RNAcentral's name for it is "bacterial SSU rRNA". It matches the Rfam family "Bacterial small subunit ribosomal RNA", at positions 28 to 417 of the family's 1533-position model. The record is from RNAcentral.